Molecule: ribosomal RNA, 698 nt
Filed under: Escherichia coli
Lineage: Bacteria; Pseudomonadati; Pseudomonadota; Gammaproteobacteria; Enterobacterales; Enterobacteriaceae
Description: partial 23S ribosomal RNA
Rfam family: Bacterial large subunit ribosomal RNA
Source: RNAcentral
CAUGCACCGAAGCUGCGGCAGCGACGCUGAUGCGUUGUUGGGUAGGGGAGCGUUCUGUAAGCCUGUGAAGGUGUGCUGUGAGGCAUGCUGGAGGUAUCAGAAGUGCGAAUGCUGACAUAAGUAACGAUAAAGCGGGUGAAAAGCCCGCUCGCCGGAAGACCAAGGGUUCCUGUCCAACGUUAAUCGGGGCAGGGUGAGUCGACCCCUAAGGCGAGGCCGAAAGGCGUAGUCGAUGGGAAACAGGUUAAUAUUCCUGUACUUGGUGUUACUGCGAAGGGGGGACGGAGAAGGCUAUGUUGGCCGGGCGACGGUUGUCCCGGUUUAAGCGUGUAGGCUGGUUUUCCAGGCAAAUCCGGAAAAUCAAGGCUGAGGCGUGAUGACGAGGCACUACGGUGCUGAAGCAACAAAUGCCCUGCUUCCAGGAAAAGCCUCUAAGCAUCAGGUAACAUCAAAUCGUACCCCAAACCGACACAGGUGGUCAGGUAGAGAAUACCAAGGCGCUUGAGAGAACUCGGGUGAAGGAACUAGGCAAAAUGGUGCCGUAACUUCGGGAGAAGGCACGCUGAUAUGUAGGUGAAGUCCCUCGCGGAUGGAGCUGAAAUCAGUCGAAGAUACCAGCUGGCUGCAACUGUUUAUUAAAAACACAGCACUGUGCAAACACGAAAGUGGACGUAUACGGUGUGACGCCUGCCCGGUGC